AUACAUUUAAAAUUUUAUGAACAUAUGCAUUUGCCAUUAAUACAUGUAAAGCCCAACUUUCUCUUAACGAAAGUACAGUAAAUAAAACAAUAUUGAACACUUGAACAAUUCUCACUCCACCAAGCAUUAAUACCCUCUGACAUAUUACCGGUUAAAUCUUCCAAACUCCUCACUGCUUCCACCUUCUUUAUCUCCUCUCCCCACAAUAUACCUAAUAUUUUUGUAAGUAAACAACAAAUUUCAACACAAAAUUAAUUCUAACAAAACAAAGACUAACUUAAUUAUAAAUAUUUUUACUAUAUGUAUGGAAAAUAAAAGACUCACAUGAGGCGAGGAUAACUAGAAUCCCCACAAACACUACAUUAGAUUUCAUGGUUUUCAUUAUGCUCAAAUUAUUUGAUCCUAAGAUGCUUU
This 414-nucleotide long non-coding RNA is filed under the name Arabidopsis lyrata. Its description in RNAcentral is "long non-coding RNA (ALYR_LNC003286)". The record is from RNAcentral. Lineage: Eukaryota; Viridiplantae; Streptophyta; Magnoliopsida; Brassicales; Brassicaceae.